This is a non-coding RNA of Physcomitrium patens, 826 nucleotides long. The record is from RefSeq and is a predicted model, not a curated record. NCBI's taxonomy places the organism in Eukaryota, Viridiplantae, Streptophyta, Bryopsida, Funariales, Funariaceae.
GGGGGGGGGGGGGGACAGUGACAUGGACUCGUGACACGAGCAUCCUAGGUGCGUUUCCACCAAAGAGAGCACCAUCAUUUUGUGUACUCCAUGGUGGAAUCGCAUCCAGGAUGCCAUUGUUACGAUUAGCGAACGCUUAUCAGCCAUGGGCAUCAAUAGUGGUGGCGUGAAAUGAUUCAGGGAGCAGUUGGAAGUCUUCAAAUCCACGGGCAACAAUUCAAAAUCUAAAUGGAUUUCUGCGCGUGAAUUUGAAGUAUCUCACCCGUUCUCUGUGUGUCAAGACGACGUGUGGGAAGAACUCUUUCAAGUAUCAAGUCAGUUUCUGAAUGCACGAUGCUUGAAUUCAGCAACUGUGCGUUUCUGAGAUUUCCAACAUGGACAGCGUGUAAUCGAUGUCUUCAUCAAAGAGGAUCUGCGACCCAAAUCGCUGAAGGAGUUGGUGGAGUUCGGGAACCUUGAUAUUGAAGCAGAGUUCGACAGACCCUUUCGUGCUCGAGUUUUUCGGCAAAGGUAGAUUCCAUGCUGCUUGCGAGACAUUUGGUGGGCUGGAUGGGUGCUUCCCUCAGUCGUUGAACCAGAGAAGUUAAACACGACUUCCACUUCCGUCACAUUGAUGAUUUUUCGAUAGUAGCACAAUCGUAGUGCCGUUCCAUUGUUUUAUCGUUUAGUGGUGCAUGCAGUUAGCCUGAAUUGUCAGUUUGUUCAAUAGAAGGAAUCUUAGUAGAACUGGUAAUCACGCUUUCUUUCAGUCUACACAAAUUCUAUUUGUAGCAUAUUCCUACCUUCUCAACGUUAGUUUUCGCAAAGAUUUGCAUUUUGACUAUCA